This 82-nucleotide transfer RNA is filed under the name Hermanssonia centrifuga. RNAcentral describes it as "Phlebia centrifuga tRNA". It matches the Rfam family "tRNA". From Rfam's summary of the family: Transfer RNA (tRNA) molecules are approximately 80 nucleotides in length. Their secondary structure includes four short double-helical elements and three loops (D, anti-codon, and T loops). Lineage: Eukaryota; Fungi; Basidiomycota; Agaricomycetes; Polyporales; Meruliaceae. The record is from Rfam by way of RNAcentral.
GUCCUUGUCGAUUAGUGGUUAGAUCAUCACGUUGUGGCAGCGCAAAUCCGUGAAGACGGAGGCUCGAAUCCUCCCUGGGACA